UUUUUCAGUAUGCAGUGGUACAAUUCGAUAAUUUGCAUUUUUCAGUAGUUCCAACAGGUUGGUUGGAAGAACCAAAUCAUUGUUAUUGGCCCGAAGGCAUGAAAAAUAUCAGAACUGCAAUAAUUAAAGAUAUAACAAUAAAGAAACAUUGGAGUAAACAUAAAUGUGAUAUUUUCAGUAAGCAUAAUACUUAUGAAUCAGCUUUGAAAGCCGAAAAAGAGGCUGCCGCUUCGUCUGAAUCAGAACGUGAAGUAAGACCAGGAAAAAGAAAAAUUAAAAACAACAAACUUGAAGACUAUGUUGAUUAUCCUGGCCCUCCAAAACUGCUUUUGUUACACAAAGAAUUUAAUAAGUCCAAUACCGCGAGUUCUUCAGAAGAAAACAGCUACACUUUUGCAAUAGAUACUGUAGAGAUUGCAUAUUAGUAGCGAUAAUGAUAGUAUAACGAAUCAUAUUACUGAUGACAUACCAGUAAUAAUUACUCAGGAGACAAAUGUUAAUGCAAAGAAUAUAAUUCAUGUCAUGAAUGACAUUACAAAUAUAACAAGAAAUAUUGAAGCUACAAUGGAAAGUUUAAAAAAAAAAACAGGAAAAAUCUCUCUCAGAAAUUCAGGCAACCAUUAAUAUAAUUCUGGCAAAAAUAAAUAAUGAACAAUAUGAUAAGGAAAAUUUUAUACUACAAGAUAAUAAAAUUAAGUAAUAUCUUCCUUUAGUUUGCACUGAAAAUUUUCUCCAGUUUGAAAA
Non-coding RNA from Linepithema humile (Argentine ant), 744 nucleotides. Lineage: Eukaryota; Metazoa; Arthropoda; Insecta; Hymenoptera; Formicidae. The record is from RefSeq and is a predicted model, not a curated record.